AACGGGAGGCUGCAGUAGGGAAUCUUCCACAAUGGGCGCAAGCCUGAUGGAGCAACGCCGCGUGUGUGAUGAAGGCUUUCGGGUCGUAAAGCACUGUUGUAUGGGAAGAACGGGUUUAAGAGGAAAUGCUUAGACAGUGACGGUACCAUACCAGAAAGGGACGGCUAAAUACGUGCCAGCAGCCGCGGUAAUACGUAUGUCCCGAGCGUUAUCCGGAUUUAUUGGGCGUAAAGCGAGCGCAGACGGUUGCUUAAGUCUGAAGUGAAAGCCCACAGCUCAACUGUGGAAUGGCUUUGGAAACUGGGCAACUUGAGUGCAGUAGAGGUAAGUGGAACUCCAUGUGUAGCGGUGGAAUGCGUAGAUAUAUGGAAGAACACCAGUGGCGAAGGCGGCUUACUGGACUGUAACUGACGUUGAGGCUCGAAAGUGUGGGUAGCAAACAGGAUUAGAUACCCUGGUAGUCCACACCGUAAACGAUGGAUACUAGUUGUUAGAGGGUUUCCGCCCUUUAGUGACGAAGCAAACGCAUUAAGUAUCCCGCCUGGGGAGUACGACCGCAAGGUUGAAACUCAAAGGAAUUGACGGGGACCCGCACAAGCGGUGGAGCAUGUGGUUUAAUUCGAAGCAACGCGAAGAACCUUACCAGGUCUUGACAUCCUUUGAAGGUACUAGAGAUAGUACUGUCUUCUUCGGAAGCAAAGUGACAGGUGGUGCAUGGCCGUCGUCAGCUCGUGUCGUGAGAUGUUGGGUUAAGUCCCGCAACGAGCGCAACCCUUAUGUUUAGUUGCCAGCAUUCAGUUGGGCACUCUAGACAGACUGCCGGUGACAAACCGGAGGAAGGCGGGGACGACGUCAGGUCAUCAUGCCCCUUAUGACCUGGGCUACACACGUGCUACAAUGGCGUAUACAACGAGCAGCAAACCUGUGAAGGUAAGCGAAUCUCUUAAAGUACGUCUCAGUUCGGAUUGUAGUCUGCAACUCGACUACAUGAAGUCGGAAUCGCUAGUAAUCGCGGAUCAGCAUGCCGCGGUGAAUACGUUCCCGGGUCUUGUACACACCGCCCGUCACACCAUGGGAGUUGGUAAUGCCCANAAACCGGUGGCCUAACCUUCGGGGAGGAGCCGUCUAAGGCAGGACUGAUGA
RNAcentral lists this ribosomal RNA (1143 nucleotides) under Fructobacillus fructosus. RNAcentral's name for it is "bacterial SSU rRNA". It matches the Rfam family "Bacterial small subunit ribosomal RNA", at positions 340 to 1474 of the family's 1533-position model. Lineage: Bacteria; Bacillati; Bacillota; Bacilli; Lactobacillales; Lactobacillaceae. The record is from RNAcentral.